Stylophora pistillata is the source of this 452-nucleotide long non-coding RNA. RefSeq lists it as uncharacterized. NCBI's taxonomy places the organism in Eukaryota, Metazoa, Cnidaria, Anthozoa, Scleractinia, Pocilloporidae. The record is from RefSeq and is a predicted model, not a curated record.
CCCACAAGUUUACUGAGGAUCGACUCCAACUGGGCCCCAACGUUGCUUUUGUCUUGUGAGGGAUGUGGUACAGCUCGGUCCAAGCUCCAUCACCGACAAAGUCACGAAUAAAAUUCGCUACCUGCAGCAUACUGUUUUGAAGAGCCAUCGGGACACGAGGUAAACUCGUGAAGUUAUGGCAAGGAAAACGGACAAGCAUCGACAAACUAAAAACAAAAUGUUUAGAAACCUUAAAUGUUAGUUUCGUAAGCCAUAAUCAUGCGUUAUAUUCAAAAACUGUAAACCAUAUUCAUACAUUGUAAUCUUGCUCUUCGUUUUCUCCACAUUCUUAAUCUUUUUAUUUUUAGAGAAAAGAAGCUCGAAUGUUCGUCAGUAAAAGGCUGCUUUUAACAUUUGAAGGAAACGUGAAUUAUUUUGGUUGUUAACAUAAACGUAAGUUUUGAUUUCCGAUA